GAUCCAGACUCCUACGGGAGGCAGCAGUGAGGAAUAUUGGUCAAUGGCCGCAGGGCUGAACCAGCCAUGUCGCGUGAGGGAUGACGGUCCUAUGGAUUGUAAACCUCUUUUGUCAGGGAGCAAAGGGCGCCACGUGUGGCGUUUUGCGAGUACCUGAAGAAAAAGCAUCGGCUAACUCCGUGCCAGCAGCCGCGGUAAUACGUAGGUGGCAAGCGUUGUCCGGAAUGACUGGGCGUAAAGGGAGCGUAGGCGGCGCGGCAAGUUAGGAGUGAAAUCCCGGGGCUCAACCCCGGAACUGCUUUUAAAACUGCCGUGCUUGAGGGAUGGAGAGGAAAGCGGAAUUCCUAGUGGAGCGGUGGAAUGCGUAGAUAUUAGGAGGAACACCAGAGGCGAAGGCGGCUUUCUGGACAUUAACUGACGCUGAGGCUCGAAAGCGUGGGGAGCAAACAGGAUUAGAUACCCGCGUAC
Molecule: ribosomal RNA, 468 nt
Filed under: uncultured bacterium
Lineage: Bacteria
Description: bacterial SSU rRNA
Rfam family: Bacterial small subunit ribosomal RNA
Source: RNAcentral